UGGAAGUAAAGUCGUACAAGGUUUCGUAGGUGAACCUGCGAAGAUCAUUAAAGAAUUGGUGACUGUAAUUUAGGUUAACCAUUAUUAUCUACUCUUUGUGAAUUGUUUGUUAUGUAAAUUUUUGUCUAUCCCUAAGAAAGGUUGGAUAAGUGUAAAGCUAAAAACUUUUUUUAGGAAUGCUUAAAGACUUUAUUUAAAAUUAAACUUUUAUUCAUUUGUCUAAAUAAUUUUUAAUAAAUAAUUAAAAACAACUUUGACAAUGGUCUCUUGGUUCUCGCAACGAUGAAACGCAAAUGCGUAAGUAUGUGAAUUGCAGAAUACGUGAAUCAUCAAUCUUCGAACGCAUAUUGCACUUUUUUAGUUUACUAAAAAGUAUGUCUGUUUGAGUAUCAGUAAAUAUCUCAUAAAUCAUUGAUUUUAUGUUAUGAGUGUUUACACGAUAACAGUUGUUCACUUUAAAUGGAUUUUAAUUGAAAUCGUCGUUGGAACGAUUUUAAUUUUUUUAAAAAUUGGAUAAAUUUCCCGUAAAAGGAAAAAGCUAUUUCAGUUUUUAGAAAUUUUAAUAGUUUCCAUACCGUACAGUUAGAGGAAAUUUAUUUAUAAUACUGAUCUCAAUCAGAUAAGAGUACCCGCUGACUAAGCAUAUCAAAGCGGAGAAAGAACUACAAGGAUUCCCUAGUAAGGCGAGUGAACGGGAAGAGCUCAAUUUGAAAUCUUCAAGGUUCACCUUGACGAUUGUAGUUUAAGAAGUGUUUCUGUUAGAGGAGUGGCAAAAUUCUUUGGAAUAGACAUCAUAGAGGGUGAGAUCCCGUAUUUGGUCAUUCUUUCUAGCUGUGAUACACUUUCAAAGAGUCGGAUUGUUUGGAAUGCAGUCCAAAAUGGUGUAAAUUCAUCUAAAGCUAAUAUUGGCGAGAGACCGAUAGCGAACAAGUACCGUGAGGAAGAUGAAAGAACUUUGAAAAGAGAAUUAACAGUACGUGAAAUUGUCAAAAGGAAGCGUUGACACCAGUGUGUUUUUCCGAAAUCAAUGUGCUGCGGAUUUGUAGGAGUUGACCUUAUCAGCUUCUUCUGCUUUUUCCGGUCUGGUGCAAUGCACUUUCGGUUAACAAGUCAACAUCAAUUCUUUGUUGUAAAAGGGUAAUUGGAAGGUGGCUUUCUUUCGGAGAAGUGUUUAUAGCCUUUACUCUACAAUCGGAGGAUUGAGUCUGCAGCGUAGAUCCUUCGGGUUAGAUACAUUUGUGCUAAGUAUAGCCCUGUAGACACUUGUUGACUAUACUCGGUCAUGUAGCUUACUCGCUUAUGCUAUUUUACCUACGCUUAGGAUGUUGAA
RNAcentral lists this unclassified non-coding RNA (1330 nucleotides) under uncultured Neocallimastigales. RNAcentral's name for it is "partial contains small subunit ribosomal RNA, internal transcribed spacer 1, 5.8S ribosomal RNA, internal transcribed spacer 2, and large subunit ribosomal RNA". The stretch from base 607 to 1330 matches the Rfam family "Eukaryotic large subunit ribosomal RNA", at positions 1 to 630 of the family's 3401-position model. Lineage: Eukaryota; Fungi; Neocallimastigomycota; Neocallimastigomycetes; Neocallimastigales. The record is from RNAcentral.